Molecule: unclassified non-coding RNA, 434 nt
Filed under: soil metagenome
Description: partial contains 5.8S ribosomal RNA, internal transcribed spacer 2, and large subunit ribosomal RNA
Rfam family: 5.8S ribosomal RNA (bases 1-120)
Source: RNAcentral
GAUGAAGAACGUAGCGAAAUGCGAUACGUAAUGUGAAUUGCAGAAUUCAGUGAAUCAUCGAAUCUUUGAACGCAUAUUGCGCUCUUUGGUAUUCCGAAGAGCAUGCUUGUUUGAGUAUCAGUAAACACCUCAAAGCUUUUGGAUUUUUUAAUCGAAAAGCUUUGGACUUGAGCAAUCCCAACACCAAUCUUUUUGAGAUCGGUGGCGGGUUGCUUGAAAUGCAGGUGCAGCUGGACAUUCUCCUGAGCUAAAAGCAUAUUCAUUUAGUCCCGUCAAACGGAUUAUUACUUUUGCUGCAGCUAACAUAAAGGGAGUUUGAUCGUAUUGGCUGACUGAUGCAGGAUUUCACAAGGGUCGGCAACGAUUCUUGUUAAACUCGAUCUCAAAUCAAGUAAGACUACCCGCUGAACUUAAGCAUAUCAAUAAGCGGAGGA